UAGUGACUUCCUCAGCCACACAGGUCU
RNAcentral lists this non-coding RNA (27 nucleotides) under Mus musculus (house mouse). The record is from RNAcentral. Lineage: Eukaryota; Metazoa; Chordata; Mammalia; Rodentia; Muridae.